GUCCACGCAGUAAACGAUGAUCACUCGCUGUUUGCGAUAUACUGUAAGCGGCCAAGCGAAAGCGUUAAGUGAUCCACCUGGGGAGUACGCCGGCAACGGUGAAACUCAAAGGAAUUGACGGGGGCCCGCACAAGCGGAGGAACAUGUGGUUUAAUUCGAUGAUACGCGAGGAACCUUACCAGGGCUUGAAAUAUAUCUGACCGACUCAGAGAUGGGUUUUCUAGCAAUAGCAGAUAUGUAGGUGCUGCAUGGUUGUCGU
Molecule: ribosomal RNA, 259 nt
Filed under: uncultured bacterium
Lineage: Bacteria
Description: partial 16S ribosomal RNA
Rfam family: Bacterial small subunit ribosomal RNA
Source: RNAcentral